CCCUGCCUCGCCUCCGCCUACACGUCCCACCCCGCCUACGACAAUGUCCAAAGUCCAGUAAGGCCCGAUUGAGGAGUAUGAGACUCCAUCAGCAGAAAUGCUGUUUCCACCGACACCAUUGCAGACCCCAAUCCCGACUCCAUUGCCUGGAACAGGUGAUCAAGGAAUGUAAAACAUCCCCACAGGUCCAUCUGAUGAUUCUGAUUAUACCCCAAGUCCAAUUAGCGAUGUCAGGAAUGGUCUUGACGUGAAAGGUGGAAGACCCAUUCCUUAUAUGCAACCCCCUUCUCCAUGGAUGACUCAGUGUCCUUUGGGUGUGGACGUUAAUGUUGCCUAUGAAGAAGGCCCGCUAUGGUGUUCUAAGCUUUGUCAUGCAGAAUAGCAACAAAGUUUUGAGGUAACUUGUCUUACUUGUCUUACUUUGUGAGUUAUUAAAAUCAUAUUUAUUUUUUGUCAUAUCCUACUCAUAUUUAUUUCCCAAAUAUCCGAUUAGUAUCCGUAUCCGAACCGUAUCCGAACCUCUAAUAUCCGAACCGUAUCCGUUUCCGUUUUAA
Molecule: long non-coding RNA, 554 nt
Organism: Asparagus officinalis (garden asparagus)
Lineage: Eukaryota; Viridiplantae; Streptophyta; Magnoliopsida; Asparagales; Asparagaceae
Exons: 5
Source: RefSeq, a predicted model, not a curated record